Molecule: non-coding RNA, 375 nt
Organism: Pogona vitticeps (central bearded dragon)
Lineage: Eukaryota; Metazoa; Chordata; Lepidosauria; Squamata; Agamidae
Source: RefSeq, a predicted model, not a curated record
AAGUCCUGCCUGCUCCUGCUGACCCUCCACAUCACGAUGGAGGGGAUGGCUCUCUACCUGGUAGCUGCUCUCCUGGUCUGUUUUCCAGCUCCAUCUCACAGCCAGCUCUUCUCCCUCAUCACCCCCAGUGUCUUGAGGAUAGACAGCUAAGAGCAGGUUGUGGUGGAGGCUCAUGGACUCAAUGCUGAAACAGAGGUAACAAUCACCGUCCUAGAUUUCCCUCACAAGAGGAACAACUUCUACUGGAUCAAAGCUUCCCUGAAGCCAGAAAAUGGCAUGAUAGCAACUCCAUUCAUAAAGCUCUCCGCAAGAGACCUCAAGAAGGAUUCCAGGAAAAAGACAUAUGUUGUUGUCCACGCCAUCUCUACUCACUUC